Molecule: ribosomal RNA, 253 nt
Filed under: uncultured bacterium
Lineage: Bacteria
Description: partial 16S ribosomal RNA
Rfam family: Bacterial small subunit ribosomal RNA
Source: RNAcentral
UACGUAGGCAGCAAGCGUUGUUCGGAGUUACUGGGCGUAAAGGGUGUGUAGGCGGUUUUCUAAGUCUGGUGUGAAAUCUCCCGGUUCAACUGGGAGGGUGCGCCGAAAACUGGAAGGCUAGAGUGCGGGACGGGAGAGUGGAAUUCCUGGUGUAGCGGUGAAAUGCGUAGAUAUCAGGAGGAACACCUGUGGUGUAGACGGCUCUCUGGACCGCAACUGACGCUGAGACACGAAAGCGUGGGUAGCAAACAGG